UACGAAGGGGGCUAGCGUUGUUCGGAAUUACUGGGCGUAAAGCGCACGUAGGCGGAUCGAUCAGUCAGGGGUGAAAUCCCAGGGCUUAACCCUGGAACUGCCUUUGAUACUGUCGAUCUGGAGUCCGGAAGAGGUGAGUGGAAUUCCGAGUGUAGAGGUGAAAUUCGUAGAUAUUCGGAGGAACACCAGUGGCGAAGGCGGCUCACUGGUCCGGUACUGACGCUGAGGUGCGAAAGCGUGGGGAGCAAACAGG
Molecule: ribosomal RNA, 253 nt
Filed under: uncultured bacterium
Lineage: Bacteria
Description: partial 16S ribosomal RNA
Rfam family: Bacterial small subunit ribosomal RNA
Source: RNAcentral